RNAcentral lists this long non-coding RNA (909 nucleotides) under Amborella trichopoda. RNAcentral's name for it is "long non-coding RNA (ATRI_LNC000592)". Lineage: Eukaryota; Viridiplantae; Streptophyta; Magnoliopsida; Amborellales; Amborellaceae. The record is from RNAcentral.
UCAAACUUUUGCCUGAUUCUUUUUAGAGAGCUCAUCAUGUUGCUGAAGACAAUAAUAUAUCAGGACUUGCAUAGAAUGCCUAUGCAAUAGUUCCGAAACUUGAAACCUUAAAAUGUAGAAUUAAAAAUGCACCUCAAAAAUUGCAACCUUAAAAUGUAGAAUUAAAAAUGCACCUCAAAAAUCCAUCGGAAAAGGUUAGUUUAAUAUUAAAACCCUCUAAUUGAUCAUCUCGACAUCAAGAUAUAUGAAUAUGAAAAAAAAGAGACUUUGAGUCCCAAAAAUAGUGCAUUUUGCAACACAUUAUCUAGACCAUCCAUUUCCAAGAUUUCCAUAUGUUUAUAGAUCUACUUGAUUUUGGCCUUUUUGGAGUUUAAAAUUUAUAAUUAGAUAUAAAAAUAGAUGUUCAGAUAAUUCUAAGAAUCUCUUACACCAAAAUUACAUGUUAUGAAAUUUUUUGGAGGUGCACCUUAAUUGGAUUGUUUAAGGUUGCAACCUUAUAGAAACCACGCCCUUUAAAUAAUGGGCACAAAUCUUAUCAGGAGAAAUAGUUAGGUUUCCGAAAUAUGGAACAAGGUUGGGGAGGAAAAUGCAUCUGGUUCAUGCAUUUGCUUAAAUGCGGUUUCCAUUUUAUGAUAAAGAAAAGUGAAUUAGUUUACCCUUCAGUAAAAUCUAGUCCUGUCUUUAAAACGUGAAAUAGGCAAGGAUAUUGUACUAAACUACUCUUGCUUCUCCUGUAUUGUAAUCAAGAUUGGGGGUAAAAUUUCUCAAUAAAAUUUGACUGUCCAAGUACCAUCCUGAUGUUACUUAAGCUUUUAAACCGCCUGCAUGACCAAGCUGUUUUUCCCAUGUAUUAUCAUGAUAUUUACCUUGAUUAUAUGCAUUAUUUGAUUGCAUAUACGCUUCAGGAAG